UAGGGAAUCUUCCGCAAUGGACGAAAGUCUGACGGAGCAACGCCGCGUGAGUGAUGAAGGUUUUCGGAUCGUAAAACUCUGUUGUUAGGGAAGAACAAGUACCGGAGUAACUGCCGGCACCUUGACGGUACCUAACCAGAAAGCCACGGCUAACUACGUGCCAGCAGCCGCGGUAAUACGUAGGUGGCAAGCGUUGUCCGGAAUUAUUGGGCGUAAAGCGCGCGCAGGUGGUUCCUUAAGUCUGAUGUGAAAGCCCACGGCUCAACCGGGGAGGGUCAGUGGAAACUGGGGAACUUGAGUGCAGAAGAGGAAAGUGGAAUUCCAAGUGUAGCGGUGAAAUGCGUAGAGAUUUGGAGGAACACCAGUGGCGAAGGCGACUUUCUGGUCUGUAACUGACACUGAGGCGCGAAAGCGUGGGGAGCGAACAGG
RNAcentral lists this ribosomal RNA (429 nucleotides) under bacterium. RNAcentral's name for it is "partial 16S ribosomal RNA". It matches the Rfam family "Bacterial small subunit ribosomal RNA", at positions 355 to 776 of the family's 1533-position model. The record is from RNAcentral.